This 579-nucleotide ribosomal RNA is filed under the name uncultured marine eukaryote. RNAcentral's name for it is "partial 18S ribosomal RNA". It matches the Rfam family "Eukaryotic small subunit ribosomal RNA", at positions 614 to 1191 of the family's 1831-position model. The record is from RNAcentral.
UGCGGUUAAAAAGCUCGUAGUUGGAUCUCGGCGAGUAGAGGGCGGUAUGCUUCGUAGCAUUACUGCCCUAUUACUUGUAGUUUUGCCAGAGGUUCCUGGGUGCUCUUAAUCGAGUGUCUAGGGAUGCUGGCAGGUUUACUUUGAAAAAAUUAGAGUGCUCAAAGCAGGCUAUUACGCUUGAAUAUUCGUGCAUGGAAUAAUAGAAUAGGAAGUUGUUUCUAUUUUGUUGGUUUUCGGAAAUCGACUUAAUGAUUAAUAGGGACAGUCGGGGGCAUUUGUAUUCAAACGACAGAGGUGAAAUUCUUGGACCGUUUGAAGACAAACUACUGCGAAAGCAUACGCCAAGAAUGUUUUCAUUAAUCAAGAACGAAAGUUAGAGGUUCGAAGGCGAUUAGAUACCGCCCUAGUUCUAACCAUAAACGAUGCCAGCUAGCGAUCUGAGGACGUUUUUUUUGUAAGACUCCUCAGGAAGCUUCCGGGAAACCAAAGCGUGUGGGUUCCGGGGGAAGUAUGGUUGCAAAGCUGAAAACUUAAAGGAAUUGACCGGAAGGGCCCCCCCAGGAGUGGAGCCUGCGGCUU